UAUUCCAAAUAAUGUUGGAGCCAGAGUACACCCCUGUUUCACCCCAUUCUUUGUGGUGAAUGGUUCCGAUGAUGUGCCGUCGAAGUUAACGGUGCACUGCGUAUCUUCAUGGAAGGAGGUUGUGAUGCUGAGCAACUGCGGAGGACAGCCAAUCUUCUUCAGUAUUUGGAAUAAACCACUUCGGCUCACCGAAUCAAAAGCUUUAAUCUUUCUUUUCUGAAUCCACACUGCGACUCCGGAUACACACGGUCAGCUAGGACCUGUAGGCGGGCAAGGAUAACACGGGCAAAGACCUUGCCAACUACGUUCAGUAGAGAGAUACCACG
Syngnathus acus (greater pipefish) is the source of this 326-nucleotide long non-coding RNA. RefSeq lists it as uncharacterized. The record is from RefSeq and is a predicted model, not a curated record. Lineage: Eukaryota; Metazoa; Chordata; Actinopteri; Syngnathiformes; Syngnathidae. The transcript has 2 exons.